UGGGGAAUAUUGCGCAAUGGGCGAAAGCCUGACGCAGCAACACCGCGUGAGGGAUGACGGCCUUCGGGUUGUAAACCUCUUUCAGCUCCGACGAAGCGAAAGUGACGGUAGGAGCAGAAGAAGCACCGGCUAACUACGUGCCAGCAGCCGCGGUAAUACGUAGGGUGCAAGCGUUGUCCGGAAUUAUUGGGCGUAAAGAGCUCGUAGGCGGUCCGUUGCGUCUGCCGUGAAAACCCGGAGCUCAACUCCGGGCCUGCGGUGGAUACGGGCGGACUAGAGUCCGGUAGGGGAGACUGGAAUUCCUGGUGUAGCGGUGGAAUGCGCAGAUAUCAGGAGGAACACCGGUGGCGAAGGCGGGUCUCUGGGCCGGAACUGACGCUGAGGAGCGAAAGCGUGGGGAGCGAACAGGAUUAGAUACCCUGGUAGUCCACGCCGUAAACGGUGGGCGCUAGGUGUGGGGAUCGUUUCCACGAUCUCCGUGCCGUAGCUAACGCAUUAAGCGCCCCGCCU
RNAcentral lists this ribosomal RNA (510 nucleotides) under uncultured bacterium. RNAcentral describes it as "bacterial SSU rRNA". It matches the Rfam family "Bacterial small subunit ribosomal RNA", at positions 355 to 874 of the family's 1533-position model. The record is from RNAcentral.